AUUGAACGCUGGCGGCAUGCCUAACACAUGCAAGUCGAACGGAGAUAGGGGCAACCUUAUUUCAGUGGCGGACGGGUGAGGAAUGCGUCGGAAUCUGCCCUAUGGUGGGGAUAACACGAGGGAAACUUGUGCUAAUACCGCAUAAUGUCGAGAGACCAAAGCAGGGGACCGCAAGGCCUUGCGCGAUAGGAUGAGCCGACGCCCGAUUAGCUUGUUGGUAGGGUAAUGGCCUACCAAGGCGACGAUCGGUAGCUGGUCUGAGAGGAUGAUCAGCCACACUGGGACUGAGACACGGCCCAGACUCCUACGGGAGGCAGC
Molecule: ribosomal RNA, 318 nt
Filed under: uncultured bacterium
Lineage: Bacteria
Description: bacterial SSU rRNA
Rfam family: Bacterial small subunit ribosomal RNA
Source: RNAcentral